This 253-nucleotide ribosomal RNA is filed under the name uncultured bacterium. RNAcentral describes it as "partial 16S ribosomal RNA". It matches the Rfam family "Bacterial small subunit ribosomal RNA", at positions 524 to 776 of the family's 1533-position model. The record is from RNAcentral.
UACGUAGGGGGCUAGCGUUGUCCGGAAUCAUUGGGCGUAAAGAGCGUGUAGGCGGCCCGGUAAGUCCGCUGUAAAAGUCAAAGGCUCAACCUUUGAAUGUCAGUGGAUACUGCCGGGCUAGAGUCCGGAAGAGGCGAGUGGAACUCCUGGUGUAGCGGUGGAAUGCGCAGAUAUCAGGAAGAACACCAACGGCGAAGGCAGCUCGCUGGGACGGUACUGACGCUGAGACGCGAAAGCGCGGGGAGCGAACGGG